CUGCGGGAAACUGUAGCUAAUACCGUAUACUCCAGUAAUGGGAAAGAUUUAUCGCUAUAAGAUUGGCCCGCGCAAGAUUAGCUUGUUGGUGAGGUAAAAGCUCACCAAGGCUUCGAUCUUUAGCUGGUUUGAGAGGACGAUCAGCCACACUGGGACUGAGACACGGCCCAGACUCCUACGGGAGGCAGCAGUAGGGAAUAUUGGACAAUGGGGGCAACCCUGAUCCAGCAAUGCAGCGUGAGUGACGAAGGCCUUAGGGUUGUAAAACUCUUUCAUCGGUGAGGAUAAUGACAGUAGCCGAAGAAUAAGGAUCGGCUAA
This 319-nucleotide ribosomal RNA is filed under the name uncultured Alphaproteobacteria bacterium. RNAcentral describes it as "bacterial SSU rRNA". It matches the Rfam family "Bacterial small subunit ribosomal RNA", at positions 147 to 500 of the family's 1533-position model. The record is from RNAcentral. Lineage: Bacteria; Pseudomonadati; Pseudomonadota; Alphaproteobacteria.